RNAcentral lists this ribosomal RNA (550 nucleotides) under Gobiodon sp. B Munday 1999. Its description in RNAcentral is "partial 16S ribosomal RNA". It matches the Rfam family "Bacterial large subunit ribosomal RNA", at positions 1856 to 2610 of the family's 2925-position model. The record is from RNAcentral. Lineage: Eukaryota; Metazoa; Chordata; Actinopteri; Gobiiformes; Gobiidae.
CGCCUGCCCUGUGACGAAAGUUUAACGGCCGCGGUAUUUUGACCGUGCGAAGGUAGCGUAAUCACUUGUCUUUUAAAUGAAGACCUGUAUGAAUGGCACAACGAGGGCUAAGCUGUCUCCUUUCCCCAGUCAAUGAAACUGAUCUUCCCGUGCAGAAGCGGGAAUCCAACAUAAGACGAGAAGACCCUAUGGAGCUUUAGACUCCGCAGCAGACCACGUUAAAACCCCUCGACCACUAGAAAGAAACAAAGUGGCCCCUGCUGCGAGUCUUUGGUUGGGGCGACCGCGGAGAAACAAAAAACCCCCGCGUAGCACGGGCCACACCCCUGAAGCCAGAGCCACACCUCCAACGAACAGAAUGUCUGACUUUCAAGAUCCGGCAUUGCCGAUUAACGGACCAAGUUACCCUAGGGAUAACAGCGCAAUCCUCUUCUAGAGCUCAUAUCGCCAAGAGGGUUUACGACCUCGAUGUUGGAUCAGGACCACCUGAUGGUGCAGCCGCUAUUAAGGGUUCGUUUGUUCAACGAUUAAAGUCCUACGUCAUCUGAGU